CAGGUUGAUCCUGCCGGACCUGACUGCUAUCUGAUUGGUACUAAGCCAUGCGAGUCGUUGUACAAUACAAGGCGGACUGCUCAGUAACACGUAGUUAACUUAACCUAUGGAUGGGAAUAACCUCGGGAAACUGAGAAUAAUACCCAAUGGGCCACAGUGCCUGGAAUGGCCUGUGGUUGAAAUGAUUUAUCGCCGUAGGAUAGGACUGCGGCCUAUCAGCUUGUUGGUGAGGUAAUGGCCCACCAAGGCUAUAACAGGUACGGGCUCUGAGAGGAGGGGCCCGGAGAUGGGUACUGAGACACGGACCCAGGCCCUAUGGGGCGCAGCAGGCGAGAAACCUUUGCAAUGUGCGAAAGCACGACAAGGUUAAUCCGAGUGUCUCCUGCUAAAGGAGUCUUUUGUCAGUUGUAGAAUCACUGGUGAAUAAGGGGUGGGCAAGUUCUGGUGUCAGCCGCCGCGGUAAAACCAGCACCUCGAGUGGUCAGGAGGUUUAUUGGGCCUAAAGCAUCCGUAGCCGGCUGCAUAAGUUUUCGGUUAAAUCUAUGCGCUUAACGUA
This 556-nucleotide ribosomal RNA is filed under the name uncultured archaeon. RNAcentral's name for it is "bacterial SSU rRNA". It matches the Rfam family "Archaeal small subunit ribosomal RNA", at positions 4 to 566 of the family's 1478-position model. The record is from RNAcentral.